AGUUAUCAGCCUCAUUCAAAUCCUUACAGAAAAAUUCUAGAGAGAGAUUGUUAGUAGAAAAAUAAAAAUAAGAAAAAUAAAAUUAGGGAUUGAAAAAUAAAAAUUAAAAAUGGGAAAAAUAAAAAUAAGAAAAUAAAAUAAAACAAAGUGAAAAUUAAUCAAGAAUCACAUAAAUAGAAUAACUUAAACCGUGAGUCCCCAACAACGGCGCCAAAAACUUGUUGGGGCAAAUCGACAAGUGUACCGAGUCGC
Molecule: long non-coding RNA, 252 nt
Filed under: Vigna radiata
Lineage: Eukaryota; Viridiplantae; Streptophyta; Magnoliopsida; Fabales; Fabaceae
Description: long non-coding RNA (VRAD_LNC008341)
Source: RNAcentral